RNAcentral lists this transfer RNA (74 nucleotides) under Candidatus Omnitrophota bacterium. Its description in RNAcentral is "Candidatus Omnitrophica bacterium (aquatic metagenome) tRNA-Arg". It matches the Rfam family "tRNA". From Rfam's summary of the family: Transfer RNA (tRNA) molecules are approximately 80 nucleotides in length. Their secondary structure includes four short double-helical elements and three loops (D, anti-codon, and T loops). The record is from RNAcentral. Lineage: Bacteria; Pseudomonadati; Candidatus Omnitrophota.
GUGCCUGUAGCUCAGCUGGAUAGAGCGUUUGGCUACGAACCAAAAGGUCGGAGGUUCGAAUCCUCCCAGGCACG